GACAGAGGUCCCGAGCGUUAGGCGGAAUCACUGGGCUUAAAGCGUGUGUAGGCGGAUUUGUAAGUACCUUGUGAAAUCCCACGGCUCAACCGUGGAACUGCUUGGUAUACUGCUUAUCUUGGGCCAUCUAGGGGCUAGCGGAACAAACGGUGGAGCGGUGAAAUGCGUAGAUAUCGUUUGGAACGCCAAUGGUGAAAACAGCUAGCUGGGGAUGUGCCGACGCUGAGACACGAAAGCCAGGGGAGCGAACGGG
RNAcentral lists this ribosomal RNA (253 nucleotides) under uncultured bacterium. Its description in RNAcentral is "partial 16S ribosomal RNA". It matches the Rfam family "Bacterial small subunit ribosomal RNA", at positions 524 to 776 of the family's 1533-position model. The record is from RNAcentral.